GUUAACUUUUAGAAUUAGUAAUCAUCAUUGUUACUGCGAGAAACGUAAAGCCAACAUUGGAUGCGUUAGGUCGGGGAAACGGUAAGUGUUGAGGAUGUGGGUGAGAGGGUAGAAGGUAGAGGGAGGAAGGAAGGUUGGAAGAAGAGGAAGUGCAAAGGUGGCGUCAGCACCGUCGUUGGCGUCCGCGUCGGCGUUGGCGUCGGCGUCGGCGUCGGCGUCGGCGUCGUGACGCCCGGAAAGAAAAGAGGGAGUCAGUUGCUGUUCGACCUUAACGUGUCUCGCAUAACUUCCCACUCGGAUUAUUUUUCAAUAAUAAACGUCACGUUUGCUUUAUCUACCAUAAUCUAUCACAUCAGUUUUGAAUAUCACUACUAAAAAAAAAAAUUAAAAAUUAAAAAAAUUAAAAAACACACACGUUUCGUUCGAUCAUACGUGCGAAUGAAUAAAAAGCCGAUUAGAAAAUCAUUUGGAAUGUUCGUCGAAUACGUGUUAUUUAAAUAAUACAACAAAUAAAAAAUGUCGAAUUGUUCGAACUUAAUUCUGAUUGAACAAGAAGAUUGAAAUAAAUGUCAGAAGAAUCGAA
This 583-nucleotide long non-coding RNA is filed under the name Polistes fuscatus (common paper wasp). Its description in RNAcentral is "uncharacterized LOC122518079". The record is from RNAcentral. Lineage: Eukaryota; Metazoa; Arthropoda; Insecta; Hymenoptera; Vespidae.